AUUGAACGCUGGCGGCAUGCUUUACACAUGCAAGUCGAACGGUAACAGGCCGCAAGGUGCUGACGAGUGGCGAACGGGUGAGUAAUGCAUCGGAACGUGCCCAGUCGUGGGGGAUAACGCAGCGAAAGCUGUGCUAAUACCGCAUACGAUCUAUGGAUGAAAGCGGGGGGCCGUAAGGCCUCGCGCGAUGGGAGCGGCCGAUGUCAGAUUAGGUAGUUGGGGGGGUAAAGGCUCACCAAGCCAACGAUCUGUAGCUGGUCGGAGGGGCCGACCAGCCACACUGGGACUGAGACACGGCCCAGACUCCUACGGGAGGCAGCAGUGGGGAAUUGUGGACAAUGGGCGCAAGCCUGAUCCAGCAAUGCCGCGUGCAGGAAGAAGGCCUUCGGGUUGUAAACUGCUUUUGUACGGAACGAAAAGGUUUGGGUUAAUACCCUGGGCCGAUGACGGUACCGUAAGAAUAAGCACCGGCUAACUACGUGCCAGCAGCCGCCGUAA
This 498-nucleotide ribosomal RNA is filed under the name uncultured bacterium. RNAcentral describes it as "partial 16S ribosomal RNA". It matches the Rfam family "Bacterial small subunit ribosomal RNA", at positions 29 to 523 of the family's 1533-position model. The record is from RNAcentral.